GUCUACGGCCAUACCACCCUGAACGCGCCCGAUCUCGUCUGAUCUCGGAAGCUAAGCAGGGUCGGGCCUGGUUAGUACUUGGAUGGGAGAUUUAGUUUGGCCAAGUCAUCCAGAUGGUGCUGCAGAGC
Molecule: ribosomal RNA, 128 nt
Filed under: Felis catus (domestic cat)
Lineage: Eukaryota; Metazoa; Chordata; Mammalia; Carnivora; Felidae
Source: RNAcentral